CGCGUAGGUGGUUUGGUAAGCGAUAUGUGAAAUCCCCGGGCUUAACCUGGGAACUGCAUGUCGAACUGCCAGGCUAGAGUAUGGUAGAGGGGUGUGGAAUUUCCUGUGUAGCGGUGAAAUGCGUAGAUAUAGGAAGGAACAUCAGUGGCGAAGGCGACACCCUGGACCGAUACUGACACUGAGGCGCGAAAGCGUGGGUAGCGAACA
RNAcentral lists this ribosomal RNA (207 nucleotides) under uncultured bacterium. Its description in RNAcentral is "partial 16S ribosomal RNA". It matches the Rfam family "Bacterial small subunit ribosomal RNA", at positions 568 to 774 of the family's 1533-position model. The record is from RNAcentral.